GACGAACGCUGGCGGCGUGCCUAAUACAUGCAAGUCGAACGCUGAAGAGAGGAGCUUGCUCUUCUUGGAUGAGUUGCGAACGGGUGAGUAACGCGUAGGUAACCUGCCUUGUAGCGGGGGAUAACUAUUGGAAACGAUAGCUAAUACCGCAUAACAAUGGAUGACACAUGUCAUUUAUUUGAAAGGGGCAAUUGCUCCACUACAAGAUGGACCUGCGUUGUAUUAGCUAGUAGGUGAGGUAAUGGCUCACCUAGGCGACGAUACAUAGCCGACCUGAGAGGGUGAUCGGCCACACUGGGACUGAGACACGGCCCAGACUCCUACGGGAAGCAGCAGUAGGGAAUCUUCGGCAAGAGGGGCAAACCUGACCGAGCAACGCCGCGUGAGUGAAGAAGGUUUUCGGAUCGUAAAGCUCUGUUGUAAGUCAAGAACGGGUGUGAGAGUGGAAAGUUCACACUGUGACGGUAGCUUACCAGAAAGGGACGGCUAACUACGUG
RNAcentral lists this ribosomal RNA (497 nucleotides) under uncultured bacterium. RNAcentral describes it as "partial 16S ribosomal RNA". It matches the Rfam family "Bacterial small subunit ribosomal RNA", at positions 28 to 507 of the family's 1533-position model. The record is from RNAcentral.